This 87-nucleotide non-coding RNA is filed under the name uncultured Brevinema sp. Lineage: Bacteria; Pseudomonadati; Spirochaetota; Spirochaetia; Brevinematales; Brevinemataceae. The record is from RNAcentral.
ACUCGGGAGCUAACAAGCUGAGAUAUCCUUUGGGAUAACCGAUAAGACCUGAUCUAGGUAAUGCUAGCGAAGGGAGAUAAUUAUUUA